This is a long non-coding RNA of Ahaetulla prasina, 1033 nucleotides long. RefSeq lists it as uncharacterized. Lineage: Eukaryota; Metazoa; Chordata; Lepidosauria; Squamata; Colubridae. The transcript is spliced from 4 exons. The record is from RefSeq and is a predicted model, not a curated record.
GCUGAUUCGUGCAGCACAGCUGAUUUCUGCACCUCCACUAUUCUACUUUACCGGGGCUGUCUUAGAAGCCUGUAGGGCAGCGGUUCUCAACCUGUGGUCGGGAUCCCAUUGGGGGUCGAAUGAUGAUUUGCCAGGGGUCACCUAAGACCAUCGGAAAUAUGGGAAGUAUACUUGCGAGUCGAAGAAUCGCGCUUCAAUGGUUGACUCCACAAGCCAGCUGCAGGCUCUUCAAAUCGCUAGCCGAAUUCGGCUUCAGGAGGCAACUGGACUUCCUUGUUUUUUUCCUUUGAAGACGUUUCACUUCUCAUCCAAGAAGAUUCUUCAGCUUCAACUAGAUGGAAAAGGAUUGCUGUUCCUUUGUUGAAUCGAAACACCAACAGCUUUAUUCCAUUUUUUUUUACCAUUUUAACAACAAAAUACUGUAUGCCAAGGCAUGUGCUAGGAAGUUUCUGUUUAUUUAAAACACAUUUAUAAGCAAGUAAAUGCAAACAAUUGUUUCCCAUAACCAAAUCAGCUCAACUUAGGGUAAAGAAUUUGUUAAACAUUCUGUCAUGGCUUCAUAUCAUUUCAAAGAUUCCCCUUGCCUGAGUCAGCCAUCCCUAACUUCUGUGCAAUUUUCAUUUUCGGCACUGAAAAUAAAUUACAUUAUUAUUUAUUUUUAAAUAGCAAUACUUUCAUAGCCACUCAGAAAAAAUAUAUAUUCAUGUACACUCAGUUCUUGUCUUCCUAGUUAGACUGUGAGGUGAAACAUAACAUCUGUGGAACUGGGUUUGUGUCAAGGCCAUUGCUGCAGCUAAGAUGCAAGUUUCAAAUAAUUCCAUUAUUAAUUAAGAUUAAUUGGCCUAGAAUUAAACCAGCAUAACUGAUGGCUAUGAAUAUUUGGUUAUCUCUAAUGAUACUAUUUAAUCUGAGUUUGGGAUGAGGCUCCAACAGCUUCCAGAAGUCCUUUGCUGAGCAAGACUAGAAAUGAAUCUGUAAUUUAAUUAGAAAUGAAUCUCCAGUUCAUGAAUAGCCAGUUUAUUCAAGGUGCUGU